RNAcentral lists this ribosomal RNA (322 nucleotides) under uncultured eukaryote. RNAcentral describes it as "partial 18S ribosomal RNA". It matches the Rfam family "Eukaryotic small subunit ribosomal RNA", at positions 1470 to 1796 of the family's 1831-position model. The record is from RNAcentral.
CCCUUAGAUGUUCUGGGCCGCACGCGUGCUACACUGAGUGGAUCAGCGGGUCAGGUUGCGCGAAAGUGUUUCCUAAUCUUUAAAUCCGCUCGUGAUGGGGAUUGACGGUUGCAAUUUUCCGUCAUGAACGAGGAAUACCUUGUAAGCGCGGGUCAUCAUCCCGCGCUGAAUACGUCCCUGCCCUUUGUACACACCGCCCGUCGCUCCUACCGAUUGAGUGGUCCGGUGAGGCUUUGGGAUCUGGGCGGAAAGAGCGUUUCGCUGCUUCUGCCCGGAAAACUCAGUCGAACCUUAUCAUUUAGAGGAAGGAGAAGUCGUAACA